GCACAAGCGGUGGAGCAUGUGGUUUAAUUCGACGCAACGCGCAGAACCUUACCAGGGUUUGACAUCCUGUGCUCGACUCCGAAAGGGGUUUUCCCCGCAAGGGGCGCAGAGACAGGUGCUGCAUGGCUGUCGUCAGCUCGUGUCGUGAGAUGUUGGGUUAAGUCCCGCAACGAGCGCAACCCUCGCCUUUAGUUGCCAUCAUUCAGUUGGGCACUCUAGAGGGACCGCCGGCGACAAGCCGGAGGAAGGUGGGGAUGACGUCAAGUCCUCAUGGCCCUUACACCCUGGGCUACACACGUGCUACAAUGGCGGUGACAGUGGGCAGCUACUCAGCGAUGAGCGGCUAAUCCCAAAAAACCGUCCCAGUUCAGAUUGCACUCUGCAACUCGAGUGCAUGAAGGUGGAAUCGCUAGUAAUCGCAGAACAGCAGGCUGCGGUGAAUACGUUCCCGGGC
RNAcentral lists this ribosomal RNA (454 nucleotides) under uncultured bacterium. Its description in RNAcentral is "bacterial SSU rRNA". It matches the Rfam family "Bacterial small subunit ribosomal RNA", at positions 923 to 1379 of the family's 1533-position model. The record is from RNAcentral.